This is a long non-coding RNA of Oreochromis aureus, 3534 nucleotides long. NCBI's taxonomy places the organism in Eukaryota, Metazoa, Chordata, Actinopteri, Cichliformes, Cichlidae. The record is from Ensembl.
CUGUGCUUAAGGCUGUACACCCCGGGGUUUUGCUUUGCUUGCUUUCUGCUAUGUAAUUCUCUUACUAAAUGUCUGUAUGUAUUUUUCCUGCUGUUCAUAUGAUUCAGUGUAUUAAACUCUGUUCCAAGAAUUCUACUCUUUUACAGAGCAUCUUUUUGAGUGUCUUGAUUUUAAUUGGAUUUGGAUCUCCACAUCGUUGGUGGAAGAAGGUUAUCAGGAUGGCUUCAAAAUUUGCGACCACAAUUGGCGACCACGAAGGGACAAGGAAUUAAGGUGAUUGCUGGGAGCCUUGGGGAAUGCCAAAGCCUUGCACAUCAGAGAACACCAAGCGGCCGCUACAAUAAGUGUACAGAGGUAGAGUUUGAAGCACUAAGGAGGGACAUGCAGUCUGACAGGGCACAUGGCAACCAAAAGGAAAGAGAAGACCAUUUCAUUGGUGUGGGGCAAACUGAGAAGAUUAAGGUAAGGCAGAGUUGAGUCAGCAUGAUUAAACCUUCACAGGUGAGCAACUAUUGACCUAGUACAAUCCAAAUUUACAAACUGUUGUAAUAGACCUUUUACCCUGCUAUUAGAACUGUUUGUUUUUCAGUAGGUCUCAAUGUUCAUCAUGGCCAUCCAGGUGUAUUAUAAACAUAAUACCAGUUACAUGUAUUAAUUAUGGUCCAAAAUUUACUAUCAUUCAAGUUAAGGAAAAUGGGGUGUGAAGUAAUUGUCUGCCUCAGAGUCCACUGCCCGGAUAUGUAACAGGGUCCAAUUAGGGAAUUUCUUAUGAUUACUGUCUAUAAACAACCCAUGCAUGAAAAUUUGUAUGAAUAGUCUAAUACAGCUGUUUUAGCUUUUCAGUGUCUAUUUUUCUAUAAGAACAAAGGCUGUAUAGUAUUCAACUCAAGGUUGAACAGGUAUGAAAUUGCGAUGCCAGUCAUCUAAGGGCACUUCAGUAUCUAAGGAUAAACUGCAAAAUUAAAACAUUACAAAACUAUUAUUUAUCUGACCCCCUUUUAGCAAGAAACUUGGAGAGGAGGAACUCCCUUUUUAACAGGAAUAAAUGCCCAGUAGAACUGGGCACAGGGGGGAGUGGUCAUCUGCUGUGACCAGCUGAGUGAAGAGAAGGAGACAGGACUAAAAACAUGCUGUGUAGGAGAGUCAGAGAUUGAUAAUAACUAAUAAUAACUUCAAAGAGAGACCUAAAAACUGGUGGCCUGGCUUCCCAUUCUACUUUUAAAUAUUCUAGUGAGCUUAAAGUUUGAGAGUCAAGUGGGGAGAUACAGUACUAUAGGAGCAGGAUGGUAAUUAAAAAAACAGAUUUAACAAGGAGCCUAUGAAGAAAAGUCAAUAAAAGAAAUAUACUCUGUCAUUCUAGUCCCUUUCAGUAUUCAUGUGCAACAUUUUGAUGUAGUUGAAUGCUUUUUAAGGAGUUUUUACCACAACCUGAUAAUAAUAAUAGCUCAGCCUAGAAGUAAUAAAUGCAUGAACUUGUUUUCCAGCAUCACUCUGGGACAGGACUUUAGAGAUAUUGCAGAAAUUGAAGAAAACAGUCUCUAAAAAGUGCAUAUUAGUGCAUAUUGAGAUAAACAAAUGACUCCAAGAAACCUCACAGUGUUAAUGGAGACCAAGGUAAUGCCAUUCAGAGCAUUCCUUUGGGUUGACUGAUAGGUGUGUGUUGCCUGGCUUCAUGGAUGGAUGAGAGAGAGGUGUCAUCAGCACGGCAGAGGUAUGUUGUGACUUUUGUGGUGUUACCUAAAGGAGGCACAUGUUAUGUAAACAGAAAUAGAUCUUGGGGUGGAACCUUGUGAAGCUCAAUGGUUAGUCUUGUGUAUGUGGGAGGAUUCUUAGAAUAACAUGUUCACAAGUAUCGAACAUAGAGAUCAAUCCACUGUCAGAGGCCUUAAGAAGAUCAUUUUUAACUUUCAUCGAAGCUGUUUCUAUACUGUGAUGUGCUCUGAAACCUGACUGAAACUCUUUAAAUAAGGCAUUCCUCUGUGACUAUUUUACAGCAUCUCUUGUGGGGAUUUUUGACAUAAAGGAAAGUUGGAGGCCUAUAAUUGGCUAGGACAGUUAGGUCAAGUGAUGGUUUUUGAGUGAUGGUUUAACUACUGCCAAUAUGAAGAACUGUGUGGUUAAUAUUGCAUUGUCUAACUUAGCUUUGAAAAUUCCAAUUCGGCGGCUAUAGAGGUGUGGGAAGUUUGAUCAGCCAUAUAGCCAGCAACGCUAAGUUUUGGGCUAACAGCGCUAAUGAUGAAUUGUGAAUUGGCAGCUGGUAACAGAGUUAAUGUUUAUUCAAAUUCAUAGCUAAAUGAAACAACCUUGUAGAGCUUUACUAUGCACUUCCUAAAUUGAUAGCUAGGUAAAGAUAAGUAAAGCUUUCUCUUUAUAACAGCAUUUGGGACAAACAUUUCAAAGUGCUUCACAAAAUAAAGCAAUGAGUUGGAAUUUGUUAAGGAAGAGGUCAACUGGGUACAACUAUUAACUUUAGUACUAAGGUGCAUGCAGUCGUGAACUAACAAGACUAAAACAACUAACAUUGCAUGGCAUACUCACAAAGAUCCAUAGAUAAGUCCUCAUAAAGGGCCUGUAUUGGUAACUGUGAACACAACUAAUGCAGUCUGCAAAGCUAUCUUUCUGCAGGUGGAGAUGGCAUCUGGAUAACAGACGGAGAUGCAGAGGUCCUGGAGCAGGUGCUGGUGAUGCGAGGGGACAACGGAGUGAAACAGGCUGCUCCAGACAGCUGAACCAUGACCCAUCCAGUAGCUGUUGAACCUGCUGCAGAGCCUACAGCCCAAGCGGAGCCAUACAGUGCCCAAACCAGCUUCCGAAUGAUGGCUGUGCAAGAUCAACUACUACCCAUCGCUGACCCUGACUUUAAUCAAGAGUAGGACCAAGUCGUCUCAAGUAUUCUUAGAAGCUAUGCGAGAUCCAGCAGCAAGAAGUACCAAGAGAGACUUUUCUCGGACUCAUAAAUUGGUUGAAAUAUGGGACUGAAAAAGGGACACAAGUUGAGUAAAGGUUGAAGCUGCUGCAGAGAAAUGUCAACCUUGAAGCUAACAAAGGACAUUUCAAAGCCCACACUGAGAAGUUGUUCAAAAAAGAAGUUGCACCUGACCAAGAUGAAAUCCAAAAUUGGGAAUUAAUUGUUUAAUUGUUUUAUUUUUAAUGUCACUAAUGGUGUUGUGUAAUCCAUGUAUGUAUAUGUGUCUCUACUGAUGUGUUUUAUGCCUUACUUUCAUUUUCCUGUAAUUAGGCUGAUUUUUAAGUUUCUUGAGUAUUCUGUUUAGGAUACUGUGUAGUAUGAUUUGCAAAUGAAGAUGAAUCAAUUUGUCUUAAAUUAAUUGACUAAGAGAAAUGGAAUCUUGGGAGAAUGUUAUGUUGAUAACUGUGAGGUUAUUGGUGGAAGGAAGGGCUUAUUCAUUUGAGCAACAACUGUGUGGGAUCUUUAUACAAAUUCUUAUGUUCUAUGUAGAGCUUGCUUUAAAAUAUGUUAGCAAAAAAACAGCGCAUACAUUAGUUUUCACGAUUUUGUUCUUCUUUAGUCAUGGG